AUGGGGAGUGGAAAGACGGGGCGGCGGCGGCGUGCCAGAGUCUCUUGGGCUCCCGUCCCCUGUCAUAAUCAAAUCACAACCACAACCGACGAGGCUUCAGUUAACAUUCCCAACUUAUUGGCCAAUACAACGAUAAUCAGUGCCUCACCCCGCUCCACUCCAUGCCAGCCCAACAGUCAUGUUAUUGAACACUGGAGAGAAACCGAGCACCACUUUUCACUUGAAUUAGAAAUGCCAAAGGAAAACCAUAGGAUGAUUUCAGAAUCACCAUGGGUUGAAAGAGCAGCUGGCUAUCACGUGAUGGCCAAUUCUGUGGACGUGACUUGGAGCGUCAGAAGGUUUUCUCUAUGUGUAAGAUCCAUUGGUGAUAUUUACUUGAAGAAGUCGGAGUACAACAUGGACCGAAUAUUUCAGAAAAUUGGCCUUGUUAUUGCAUUGAAGAGGCUAGCUCUUACCGCUGAACCACAAAUUCAUGUUCGCUAG
This 483-nucleotide ribosomal RNA is filed under the name Triticum aestivum (bread wheat). RNAcentral describes it as "partial small subunit ribosomal RNA". The record is from RNAcentral. Lineage: Eukaryota; Viridiplantae; Streptophyta; Magnoliopsida; Poales; Poaceae.